CGACGUGUGCAGCUGACGAAUACUAAUCGAUCGAGGACUUAACCACAAUUUUGAAUGGCUUUCAAUGGCCCGUUUAUCCAGUUUUGAGUGAACAAACACUCAAUAAGUCUAGUGAUAAUGGCAAAGAGGUCACACCCGUUCCCAUACCGAACACGGAAGUUAAGCUCUUUAGCGCCGAUGGUAGUUGGGGGUCUCCCCCUGCAAGAGUAGGACGUCGCUAGGC
Molecule: ribosomal RNA, 223 nt
Filed under: Paenisporosarcina sp. OV554
Lineage: Bacteria; Bacillati; Bacillota; Bacilli; Caryophanales; Caryophanaceae
Source: RNAcentral